This 258-nucleotide ribosomal RNA is filed under the name uncultured bacterium. RNAcentral describes it as "partial small subunit ribosomal RNA". It matches the Rfam family "Bacterial small subunit ribosomal RNA", at positions 26 to 285 of the family's 1533-position model. The record is from RNAcentral.
AGAAUCAACGCUGGCGGCGUGCCUAACACAUGCAAGUCGAACGAGAAAGUGGAGCAAUCCAUGAGUAAAGUGGCGACCGGGUGAGUAACACGUGACUAACCUACCUUCGAGGUGGGGAUAACCUCGGGAAACCGGGCUAAUACCGCAUAACAUCUUUGAAGUGGAAACUUUGGAGAUCAAAGGAGCAAUUCGCUGGAAGAGGGGUCGCGGCUGAUUAGCUAGUUGGCGGGUAACGGCCCACCAAGGCUUAGAUCGGUA